UCCCUCUACUCUUUACGGGAGGCAGCAGUAGGGAAUCUUCCGCAAUGGACGAAAGUCUGACGGAGCAACGCCGCGUGAGUGAUGAAGGUUUUCGGAUCGUAAAGCUCUGUUGUUAGGGAAGAACAAGUGCGAGAGUAACUGCUCGCACCUUGACGGUACCUAACCAGAAAGCCACGGCUAACUACGUGCCAGCAGCCGCGGUAAUACGUAGGUGGCAAGCGUUGUCCGGAAUUAUUGGGCGUAAAGGGCUCGCAGGCGGUUUUUUAAGUCUGAUGUGAAAGCCCCCGGCUCAACCGGGGAGGGUCAUUGGAAACUGGGAAACUUGAGUGCAGAAGAGGAGAGUGGAAUUCCACGUGUAGCGGUGAAAUGCGUAGAGAUGUGGAGGAACCACCAGUGGCGAAGGCGACUCUCUGGUCUGUAACUGACGCUGAGGAGCGAAAGCGUGGGGAGCGAACAGGAUUAGAUACCCUGGUAGUCCACGCCGUAAACGAUGAGUGCUAAGUGUUAGGGGGUUUCCGCCCCUUAGUGCUGCAGCUAACGCAUUAAGCACUCCGCCUGGGGAGUACGGUCGCAAGACUGAAACUCAAAGGAAUUGACGGGGGCCCGCACAAGCGGUGGAGCAUGUGGUUUAAUUCGAAGCAACGCGAAGAACCUUACCAGGUCUUGACAUCCUCUGACAACCCUAGAGAUAGGCUUCCCUU
RNAcentral lists this ribosomal RNA (701 nucleotides) under Bacillus sp. (in: firmicutes). RNAcentral describes it as "bacterial SSU rRNA". It matches the Rfam family "Bacterial small subunit ribosomal RNA", at positions 328 to 1018 of the family's 1533-position model. Lineage: Bacteria; Bacillati; Bacillota; Bacilli; Caryophanales; Bacillaceae. The record is from RNAcentral.